This 77-nucleotide transfer RNA is filed under the name Desulfobulbaceae bacterium. Its description in RNAcentral is "tRNA-Arg". It matches the Rfam family "tRNA". From Rfam's summary of the family: Transfer RNA (tRNA) molecules are approximately 80 nucleotides in length. Lineage: Bacteria; Pseudomonadati; Thermodesulfobacteriota; Desulfobulbia; Desulfobulbales; Desulfobulbaceae. RNAcentral also lists the same sequence under 2 other names. The record is from RNAcentral.
GGGCGGGUAGCUCAGCUGGAUAGAGUACUGGCCUCCGAAGCCAGGAGUCGCGGGUUCGAAUCCCGCCUCGCCCACCA